This 250-nucleotide long non-coding RNA is filed under the name Mytilus galloprovincialis (Mediterranean mussel). The record is from RNAcentral. Lineage: Eukaryota; Metazoa; Mollusca; Bivalvia; Mytilida; Mytilidae.
UAGACAAACUCCGUCGUUACAUCUACCAUUUUCCAUAGGCAAAAAUGAGUUUUAAAGUCACCAUUCCUUGCGUCACCAAAUUUAUUGCUGUGGCACAACUUAGAAAAAUUACGGCAAAAUAAUUAAAAACAAAUUAAAUUGAUGUUUUACCGGCUCCAAAAUUCGUGUUGCCAUUUUGUUUUAGCUUUAUAUGUCAACUGGUUUUAUUUAGAAAUGUUGUAUUAUUCUUUUGUUGUCAGAGCUAGAAUAA